Molecule: ribosomal RNA, 884 nt
Filed under: uncultured bacterium
Lineage: Bacteria
Description: bacterial SSU rRNA
Rfam family: Bacterial small subunit ribosomal RNA
Source: RNAcentral
AGGGUUUGAUCCUGGCUCAGAACGAACGCUGGCGGCGUGCCUAACACAUGCAAGUCGUGCGAGAACGCUCCCUUCGGGGAGUUAGUAGAGCGGCGCACGGGUGAGUAACACGUGGGUAAUCUGCCCUUGAGUUCGGGAUAACCCGGGGAAACCCGGGCUAAUACCGAAUGCGCCCCAGGAGUCUUCGGACUUCUGGGAGAAAGAUGGCCUCUGCUUGCAAGCUAUCGCUCAUGGAUGAGCCCGCGUCCCAUUAGCUUGUUGGUGAGGUAACGGCUCACCAAGGCUGAGAUGGGUAGCUGAUCUGAGAGGAUGAUCAGCCACACUGGAACUGAGACACGGUCCAGACUCCUACGGGAGGCAGCAGUGGGGAAUUUUGGGCAAUGGGCGAAAGCCUGACCCAGCAACGCCGCGUGAGGGAUGAAGGUUUUCGGAUCGUAAACCUCUGUCAGGAGGGAAGAGCAGUCCCAUGGCCAAUACCCAUGGGACCCGACGGUACCUCCAAAGGAAGCGCCGGCUAACUCCGUGCCAGCAGCCGCGGUAAUACGGAGGGCGCAAGCGUUGUUCGGAAUUACUGGGCGUAAAGCGCGUGUAGGCGGUCUGGAAAGUCGGGUGUGAAAUCCCCGGGCCUAACCCGGGAACUGCAUCCGAAACUUCCUGACUGGAGUCCCGGAGAGGAAGGCAGAAUUCCCAGUGUAGGGGUGAAAUCCGUAGAUAUUGGGAGGAAUACCAGUGGCGAAAGGCGGCCUUCUGGACGGUGACUGACGCUGAGACGCGAAAGCGUGGGGAGCAAACAGGAUUAGAUACCCUGCUAGUCCACGCUGUAAACGGUGCGUACUAGGUGUCGGGGGUAUUCACCCCUCCGGUGCCGCAGGUAACCCAAUAAG